CCUACGGGGCGCAGCAGUGGGGAAUAUUGCACAAUGGGCGCAAGCCUGAUGCAGCCAUGCCGCGUGUAUGAAGAAGGCCUUCGGGUUGUAAAGUACUUUCAGCGGGGAGGAAGGCGGUGAGGUUAAUAACCUCGCCGAUUGACGUUACCUACAGAAGAAGCACCGGCUAACUCCGUGCCAGCAGCCGCGGUAAUACGGAGGGUGCGAGCGUUAAUCGGAAUUACUGGGCGUAAAGCGCAUGCAGGCGGCCUGUUAAGUCAGAUGUGAAAGCCCGGGGCUUAACCUCGGAAUUGCAUUUGAAACUGGCAGGCUAGAGUCUUGUAGAGGGGGGUAGAAUUUCAGGUGUAGCGGUGAAAUGCGUAGAGAUCUGAAGGAAUACCAGUGGCGAAGGCGGCCCCCUGGACAAAGACUGACGCUCAGAUGCGAAAGCGUGGGGAGCAAACAGGAUUAGAUACCCGGGUAGUC
RNAcentral lists this ribosomal RNA (465 nucleotides) under uncultured bacterium. Its description in RNAcentral is "bacterial SSU rRNA". It matches the Rfam family "Bacterial small subunit ribosomal RNA", at positions 338 to 795 of the family's 1533-position model. The record is from RNAcentral.